GUGAACGCUGGCGGUAGGCCUAACACCUGCAAGUCGAACGGCAGCACAGUAAGAGCUUGCUCUUACGGGUGGCGAGUGGCGGACGGGUGAGGAAUACAUCGGAAUCUACUUUUUCGUGGGGGAUAACGUAGGGAAACUUACGCUAAUACCGCAUACGACCUACGGGUGAAAGCAGGGGAUCUUCGGACCUUGCGCGAUUGAAUGAGCCGAUGUCGGAUUAGCUAGUUGGCGGGGUAAAGGCCCACCAAGGCGACGAUCCGUAGCUGGUCUGAGAGGAUGAUCAGCCACACUGGAACUGAGACACGGUCCAGACUCCUACGGGAGGCAGCAGUGGGGAAUAUUGGACAAUGGGCGCAAGCCUGAUCCAGCCAUGCCGCGUGGGUGAAGAAGGCCUUCGGGUUGUAAAGCCCUUUUGUUGGGAAAGAAAAGCAGCAGGUUAAUACCCCGCUGUUCUGACGGUACCCAAAGAAUAAGCACCGGCUAACUUCGUG
RNAcentral lists this ribosomal RNA (491 nucleotides) under uncultured bacterium. RNAcentral describes it as "partial 16S ribosomal RNA". It matches the Rfam family "Bacterial small subunit ribosomal RNA", at positions 29 to 507 of the family's 1533-position model. The record is from RNAcentral.